GCCAUUUGUCCUAAAGAUGUACC
RNAcentral lists this non-coding RNA (23 nucleotides) under Arabidopsis thaliana (thale cress). The record is from RNAcentral. Lineage: Eukaryota; Viridiplantae; Streptophyta; Magnoliopsida; Brassicales; Brassicaceae.